RNAcentral lists this ribosomal RNA (910 nucleotides) under uncultured bacterium. Its description in RNAcentral is "bacterial SSU rRNA". It matches the Rfam family "Bacterial small subunit ribosomal RNA", at positions 33 to 924 of the family's 1533-position model. The record is from RNAcentral.
ACGCUGGCGGCGUGCCUAAUACAUGCAAGUCGAGCGAAGUUUUUCUGGUGCUUGCACUAGAAAAACUUAGCGGCGAACGGGUGAGUAACACGUAAAGAACCUGCCUCAUAGACUGGGACAACUAUUGGAAACGAUAGCUAAUACCGGAUAACAGCAUUAACUGCAUGGUUGAUGUUUAAAAGUUGGUUUUGCUAACACUAUGAGAUGGCUUUGCGGUGCAUUAGCUAGUUGGUGGGGUAAAGGCCUACCAAGGCGACGAUGCAUAGCCGACCUGAGAGGGUGAUCGGCCACACUGGGACUGAGACACGGCCCAGACUCCUACGGGAGGCAGCAGUAGGGAAUCUUCCGCAAUGGGCGAAAGCCUGACGGAGCAACGCCGCGUGAGUGAAGAAGGGUUUCGGUUCGUAAAGCUCUGUUGUUAGGGAAGAAUGAUUGUGUAGUAACUAUACACAGUAGAGACGGUACCUAACCAGAAAGCCACGGCUAACUACGUGCCAGCAGCCGCGGUAAUACGUAGGUGGCAAGCGUUGUCCGGAAUUAUUGGGCGUAAAGCGCGCGCAGGUGGUUUAAUAAGUCUGAUGUGAAAGCCCACGGCUCAACUGUGGAGGGUCAUUGGAAACUGUUAAACUUGAGUGCAGGAGAGAAAAGUGGAAUUCCUAGUGUAGCGGUGAAAUGCGUAGAGAUUAGGAGGAACACCAGUGGCGAAGGCGGCUUUUUGGCCUGUAACUGACACUGAGGCGCGAAAGCGUGGGGAGCAAACAGGAUUAGAUACCCUGGUAGUCCACGCCGUAAACGAUGAGUGCUAAGUGUUGGUCUCAUAAGAGAUCAGUGCUGCAGCUAACGCAUUAAGCACUCCGCCUGGGGAGUACGACCGCAAGGUUGAAACUCAAAGGAAUUGACGGGGACCCGC